UGCCUAACACAUGCAAGUCGAACGGUAACAGAUAAGAUGAUCUCUUCGGAGUGAAUCUUUGCUGACGAGUGGCGGACGGGUGAGUAAUGCUUGGGAAUCUGCCCAAUAGUGGGGGAAAACUCGGGGAAACCCGGGCUAAUACCGCAUAAUCUCUACGGAGGAAAGAGGGCCUCUACAUGUAAGCUCUCGCUAAUGGAUGAGCCCAAGUCAGAUUAGCUAGUUGGUAAGGUAAUGGCUUACCAAGGCUACGAUCUGUAGCUGGUCUGAGAGGAUGAUCAGCCACACUGGGACUGAGACACGGCCCAGACUCCUACUGGAGGCAGCAGUGGGGAAUAUUGCACAAUGGGCGCAAGCCUGAUGCAGCAAUGCCGCGUGUGUGAAGAAGGCUCUAGGGUUGUUAAGCACUUUCAAUAGAGAAGAAAAGCUUGAAAUUAAUACUUUCAAGCCUUGACGUAACCUAUACAGGAAGCACCGGCUAAUUCCGUGCCAGCAGCCGCGGUAAUACGGGAGGUGCGAGCGUUAAUCGGAAUUACUGGGCGUAAAGCGAGCGUAGGCUGUUAAUUAAGUCGAAUGUGGAAAUCCCCGGGCUCAACCUGGGAACUGCAUUCGAAACUAUUUAACUAGAGUAUGGGAGAGGAAAGUAGAAUUUCCGGUGUAGCGGUGAAAUGCGUAGAUAUCGGAGGAAUACCAGUGGCGAA
Molecule: ribosomal RNA, 698 nt
Filed under: uncultured bacterium
Lineage: Bacteria
Description: bacterial SSU rRNA
Rfam family: Bacterial small subunit ribosomal RNA
Source: RNAcentral